This 255-nucleotide unclassified non-coding RNA is filed under the name Rhizophagus sp. (in: glomeromycetes). RNAcentral's name for it is "partial contains 5.8S ribosomal RNA and internal transcribed spacer 2". The stretch from base 1 to 65 matches the Rfam family "5.8S ribosomal RNA", at positions 84 to 154 of the family's 154-position model. Lineage: Eukaryota; Fungi; Glomeromycota; Glomeromycetes; Glomerales; Glomeraceae. The record is from RNAcentral.
GUGAAUCAUCAAAUCUUUGAACGCAAAUUGCACUCUCUUCGGAGAUUAUGCCUGUUUGAGGGUCAGUGUUAAUAAAAAUCGGUGUGUUGCUUCUUUGUUACGCUCCGGAGUUUGGGUCAUCUUAAUAUCCUUUUGGUUUUAAGAGGCUUAAAAUUGACUUUUUUUGCGCAUUUUAGAUGUACAUAAAUUCUUUUUUUUAUUCGUCUGUCUUAAUGCUCAAAAACCUUUUAGAUUGGACCAUGUCGGUGUGUUUCC